RNAcentral lists this long non-coding RNA (913 nucleotides) under Coturnix japonica (Japanese quail). RNAcentral describes it as "lncRNA (ENSCJPG00005000264.1)". Lineage: Eukaryota; Metazoa; Chordata; Aves; Galliformes; Phasianidae. The record is from RNAcentral.
AUGCCCCAAAAUGACCCAAAAUCGCCAUUUUUCCCCCCAAAUCCUGUAGGUUCGCCAAGCUGCUGCUCCGCCUUCCGGCCCUUCGCUCCAUCGGCCUCAAGUGCCUGGAACAUUUGUUCUUCUUCAAGCUCAUCGGGGACACCCCCAUCGACACCUUCCUCAUGGAGAUGCUCGAGGCCCCGCACCAGCUGGCCUGACCCCAUAGAAAACCCUAUAAACCCUAUAACCCCAUAUCGACCCUAUAAGCCCGAUAUUGACCCUAUAACCCCAAUAUGGACCCUAUAUCCUAUAUAUAUAUGGACGCAUAUCAGGGACACCCCCAUCGACACCUUCCUCAUGGAGAUGCUCGAGGCCCCGCACCAGCUGGCCUGACCCCAUAGAAAACCCUAUAAACCCUAUAACCCUAUAACCCCUAUAUGGACCCUAUAAGCCCUAUAUGGACCCUAUAAACCCGAUAUGGACCCUAUAAACCCGAUAUGGACCCUAUAAACCUGAUAUGGACCCCAUAAUCCCUGGAAAACAACGGACUCAAACGUGGACUGAAAUGAUGGGAUUCCAUCCCAUAAUACGACCCCAUAAACCCUAUAAACCCUAUAACCCCAAUAUGGACCCUAUAAACCUGAUAUGGACCCUAUAAUCCCAAUAUGGACCCUAUAAUCCCAAUAUGGACCCUAUAAUCCCAAUAUUGACCCCAUAAUCCCAAUAUUGACCCUAUAAUCCCAAUAUGGACCCUAUAAUCCCAAUAUGGACCCUAUAAACCCAAUAUGGACCCUAUAAUCCCAAUAUUGACCCUAUAAUCCCAAUAUUGACCCUAUAAUCCCAGUGCUGACCCUAUAAACCCCAUAGGAUAUAAUGGGGUCCCCAUUAAUACCCUAUAAACCCCAUAGGAUAUAAUGGGGUCCCCAUUAAUACC